UACGGAGGGGGCGAGCGUUAUUCGGAAUUAUUGGGCGUAAAGGGCGCGUAGGCGGCUGUGUAAGUCAAAGGUGAAAUCCCUCGGCUCAACUGAGGAACUGCCUUUGAAACUGCUCAGCUUGAGGCCGGGAGGGGGUGGUGGAAUUCCCAGUGUAGCGGUGAAAUGCGUAGAUAUUGGGAGGAACACCAGUGGCGAAGGCGGCCACCUGGACCGGUUCUGACGCUGAUGCGCGAAAGCGUGGGUAGCAAACAGG
RNAcentral lists this ribosomal RNA (253 nucleotides) under uncultured bacterium. RNAcentral's name for it is "partial 16S ribosomal RNA". It matches the Rfam family "Bacterial small subunit ribosomal RNA", at positions 524 to 776 of the family's 1533-position model. The record is from RNAcentral.